Molecule: ribosomal RNA, 311 nt
Filed under: Isochrysis galbana
Lineage: Eukaryota; Haptophyta; Isochrysidales; Isochrysidaceae
Description: partial Bacterial large subunit ribosomal RNA
Rfam family: Bacterial large subunit ribosomal RNA
Source: RNAcentral
UAGCGACAAAGAGGGUGAGAGACCCUCUCGCCGAAAAUCCAAGGGUUCCUGCGUAAAGCUAAUCUGCGCAGGGUUAGUCGGCCCCUAAGGCGAGGGCGAAAGCCGUAGUCGAUGGGAACCACGUUAAUAUUCGUGGGCCAGAUGGUAGUGACGAAUCCCGUGUGUUGUGUCCCCUUAUUGGAUUGGGGGUGCAGCGAAGGGGUUCCAGGAAAUAGCUCCAUCAUUAGACCGUACCCGAAACCGACACAGGUGGACAGGUAGAGCAUACCAAGGCGCUUGAGAGAACUCUGCUGAAGGAACUCGGCAAAUUA